This 497-nucleotide ribosomal RNA is filed under the name uncultured bacterium. RNAcentral describes it as "partial 16S ribosomal RNA". It matches the Rfam family "Bacterial small subunit ribosomal RNA", at positions 28 to 507 of the family's 1533-position model. The record is from RNAcentral.
GAUGAACGCUGGCGGCGUGCCUAAUACAUGCAAGUCGAGCGAACAGACGAGGAUCUUGCUCCUCUUACGUUAGCGGCGGACGGGUGAGUAACACGUGGAUAACCUACCUAUAAGACUGGGAUAACUUCGGGAAACCGGAGCUAAUACCGGAUAAUAUAUUGAACCGCAUGGUUCAAUAGUGAAAGACGGUUUUGCUGUCACUUAUAGAUGGAUCCGCGCCGCAUUAGCUAGUUGGUAAGGUAACGGCUUACCAAGGCGACGAUGCGUAGCCGACCUGAGAGGGUGAUCGGCCACACUGGAACUGAGACACGGUCCAGACUCCUACGGGAGGCAGCAGUAGGGAAUCUUCCGCAAUGGGCGAAAGCCUGACGGAGCAACGCCGCGUGAGUGAUGAAGGUCUUCGGAUCGUAAAACUCUGUUAUUAGGGAAGAACAAAUGUGUAAGUAACUAUGCACGUCUUGACGGUACCUAAUCAGAAAGCCACGGCUAACUACGUG